UACGGAGGGUGCAAGCGUUAUCCGGAUUCACUGGGUUUAAAGGGUGCGUAGGAGGGCAGGUAAGUCAGUGGUGAAAUCUCCAAGCUUAACUUGGAAACUGCCGUUGAUACUAUCUGUCUUGAAUAUUGUGGAGGUGAGCGGAAUAUGUCAUGUAGCGGUGAAAUGCUUAGAUAUGACAUAGAACACCAAUUGCGAAGGCAGCUCGCUACACAUAUAUUGACGCUGAGGCACGAAAGCGUGGGGAUCAAACAGG
Molecule: ribosomal RNA, 253 nt
Filed under: uncultured bacterium
Lineage: Bacteria
Description: partial 16S ribosomal RNA
Rfam family: Bacterial small subunit ribosomal RNA
Source: RNAcentral